This 479-nucleotide ribosomal RNA is filed under the name uncultured bacterium. RNAcentral describes it as "partial 16S ribosomal RNA". It matches the Rfam family "Bacterial small subunit ribosomal RNA", at positions 28 to 507 of the family's 1533-position model. The record is from RNAcentral.
GAUGAACGCUGGCGGCGUGCUUAACACAUGCAAGUCGAGCGAGAAGUUUUGAAAAGAUUCUUCGGAUGAAAUUUAAAAUGGAAAGCGGCGGACGGGUGAGUAACGCGUAGGCAACCUGCCCCAUACAAAGGGAUAGCAUUUGGAAACGAAUAUUAAUACCUUAUGAAACUUAACUAGUGCAUGCUAGGUAGGUCAAAGAUUUAUCGGUAUGGGAUGGGCCUGCGUCUGAUUAGCUAGUUGGUGAGGUAACGGCUCACCAAGGCGACGAUCAGUAGCCGACCUGAGAGGGUGAACGGCCACAUUGGAACUGAGACACGGUCCAAACUCCUACGGGAGGCAGCAGUGGGGAAUAUUGCACAAUGGAGGAAACCCUGAUGCAGCAACGCCGCGUGAACGAUGAAGGCCUUUGGGUCGUAAAGUUCUGUUCUAGGUGAUGAAAACUGACAGUAACCUAGGAGAAAGCCCCGGCUAACUCCGUG